UUCCUCACAGAUCCUCUAUGAAUAUUCCAGGGCUCCUUGUUUGUCAGGAAGGCUGUCUCGCUUUCAUCUAUUCAGGCUUCUGAUAGACAACCCUGACACCUGCUCCCCGGGGACCCCCUCCGCCAAGUCACUGCACUGUUCCUUGAGAGACUUCCCUUACUUUAUCAGCCCAGAAAGGAUUGUCACAGGCUGGUCACUGUCCUCCUCUGCAGCAUUCUUCUCUCCAAACUAACCCAAAAAUCCAUCCACA
Long non-coding RNA from Austrofundulus limnaeus, 250 nucleotides. RefSeq lists it as uncharacterized. The record is from RefSeq and is a predicted model, not a curated record. The transcript has 3 exons. Lineage: Eukaryota; Metazoa; Chordata; Actinopteri; Cyprinodontiformes; Rivulidae.